CACUCAUCAAAAUUAAUUAAUUCCAUCAAUGAGAUUCAGAAUCAGGGUUCUUAAUUUCAACAUAUCUCACAAUAGAGAGAUCAACCAAUCAAAUUAACAAUUGAAAAAAUGCUAUUGGUUGCCAAAUUCAUGAAUUGUUCUAAAUUGAAUCAGUAACAGAAAGAUCAAUUUGUCUUGUUUGAUGCAUGCAAACCAAUAGACAACGGCGUCUGAAAGAAUCCAGGUAAUUUACUGACUGAAUGGUACAAGAACCAAAUGAGCUCACAGAAACAAAAUUUAUCAUCAGUCUUGAAUUGUUUUCCUCGCAAAUUUUAUCAUCUAUAUUCUUGGAAGUUGACGUGGACUGUGGCUUGUGCAUGCUCGACUGCCGCCCAUACAUUCACAUAAAAUGACAACAUAAAAGAUUGAGAAAAUCAUUGUCAGGCCGAACAAAGAAAGAGAGUUAAAGCCAGAAUAUUUAUAUCAAGAGAACCGACCUUCUGACCAACUACUCCAAUUUGGCAUACUCCACAGCGCAAACUGAAGUUGGAAGUGUCCGUGUAAAUUCUUUUCCUGUAAGUGAUCAGGGUGAAAUAAUAAUUGUGGAAGUUGAAGUUAAGCUAUACCAUGUUCAUUGACAUGCAAACUCUAGUGCAAAGGAAACUAGGUAUAGUUUGCUUGAAUGUGACAAGUAAAAUGUCCUCAACAUAGCGCUAUAGAAUGGGCACGUAUCUUGAAAAAACAGAGUAGCAUAUGAUAAGAAGUCCAAUAUCUAAUGUGAACUAAAUUCAAAUUGCAUAAGGACUGACAAAAUCUAAAUUGCAAAACUUUCUCGAGAUGCAACGAAUGACAAAUAAGUUUCUAAUAUGUUACUAGUUAAGAAUGCCAAAAUGGUGUACACUCGACAGCUACCAAGCUAGCACCUCUAGAAUCUUUGGACUUUGGCUAAAUGACAAAUCAAGUGUCACAUAAUCCAGAUUUAAGUGAUAUUCUAUGCUUAGACCAGUGUGCUGAAUAUUCAUACUUAUAUUUAACCCCUUCAUAUGAAUUUUCCUGUGUGCUUGUAGUCCUAUAAACUUUAAGCCCAAAGAAGAGUUUAAAUAAAACCUUUCCUUUAUCAUUUUGUACAGCAAAUAUGGUCUGAUCAAAUUCCUCCAGAGCUCCCUCAAAUGGAGAUAUCUAUCAAAUUAAAUACAAUGAAGGCAUCCAUAAGUAGAAUAUCAAAACAGUAAACAAUUGAUGGGUGCACAACAGAAAGAAUUUAAUACCAUAUGGCCAGUCAAUAAAAACCAGUUAUUACUAACAAAUGCUGCAUAUCAUGAGCUCACUUCCACAUUAUGGAGAUGAUAACACGUAAUAAUUUGAAGAAAUUAUCCAACACAGCAAAUUAAUCUGUCUAGGCUGCAGGUGCAGUAUUUAAUUAGAAAAUCCUUUUGCAAAGGGCACACAUGCAAUUUCUACAGAUAUUUCAUUAUUUCUUCCUUAAUUAGGCCUCUGAUUGGAUGAAGAGAAAUAAAAAUAGAGUACAAAAAUGAAAUUGAGAACAAAACACCAUACAGCCAAAGCAUCAUAAUGAAGUCCAUCAUAAAUCAACAUCUCCCUCUCAGUGUACUUACUGUCCUGUCAAAUAGCAACCAAAUGGGAACAGACAAGCAGCAGCAGCAGCAGCAUAAAGAGAGAAGAGAGAGAGAGGGAGGGAGAGAAUAUUUUGCAAUACAUUUAGAUAUAUGGGUUACCCAAAUCAAUAUUAUGUAUAAAAGUAGCUAAAUAUCUGACACCUUAACCCACUUUAUCAAACACAAUGGUCCAUAAACCUCAACAAGAAUUUGGAUCGCAGAAAAUCCAUGGAAGAAACUUAGAUUAAGAGGAAAAUAGGAAGAACUCUGUUCAAUUCCUGAUACCUGAUAUGGUAAACAACCAUAUGCAUACAAUUCUUCUCUGCAAAUCCAAGACAUGCUUACAUGGGGGAGUAAAAAUUGGAAUGGACUUAGCACGGCCAGAUGCAUAAAUCAAAAGAUUGAAUCUGCGGCCCCACUUAUUUCUUUAGAUACACACACACACACACACACAU
Molecule: unclassified non-coding RNA, 2050 nt
Filed under: Hevea brasiliensis (rubber tree)
Lineage: Eukaryota; Viridiplantae; Streptophyta; Magnoliopsida; Malpighiales; Euphorbiaceae
Source: RNAcentral